Molecule: long non-coding RNA, 862 nt
Organism: Bombus impatiens (common eastern bumble bee)
Lineage: Eukaryota; Metazoa; Arthropoda; Insecta; Hymenoptera; Apidae
Exons: 3
Source: RefSeq, a predicted model, not a curated record
UUUGUUAUUGUUACCUAAGUACCUAAGCCAUAAAGCAUACAUAAACGGCACGUAAAAGAUUUUAAGAUAUCUCCGCGAUUUCACGAACGUGCUAGUCAACUAUCUUUCUAGGAAACAUCGGAGGAAGAAACCGGAGAAAAAAGCGGUGCAUUGUUUCUCUGUCGGGCCGAGGGCCCGAUUUAAGGGUAUAUAGGGAACGAGGAUUAUAGGUUAUUGUUUAGACAAAGACUCUUAACCUCGAAACACGCACGACACCUGGAAAAAGUAUAAAUAAUCGAGAAGAGGGAUACCAUAUUGUGUUGCUUCUUGGUCCAUUAGUCUUUAAUAGGUUGAUCUCCCAACUAAUAAGAACAUCAUGGAACACGCCGCAAGCAACUUUAACCUCAUGUCCCAUUAUGGUUACCAUUCUGGAAAGAGACAAACGAUUAUAAGAGGAAAACUUCACCUUGUCCAUUUGUUCUUCAAAAUGUUUGUUUAUAGUUUGGUCACAGGUCAGAGACAAGAUAACACAAUUAAAUACGAUGAGUCACGAUAAAGGUUGCUAGCUAUUUUUAUGGGGGCAACAUGCGCGACUCAGCCAGGUCUAUUAGUCAUGUCUGGACGUACGUUUUUUCCUCGAACAACUUGUUCGGUGCUUGCAGUAUGUUUGACAGUUGCUAUGGAACAUUUCAUACACCGAAUAAAGAAAAGUUAUUUAUGUCGAUCGCGAUAAAAAAGAAAUAUAUUAUGGAAGCUUUUUACCAUCACACUAUUUCGUUAACAAAAAGUUAGAUGUUAGUUGAGAUAAAAGAAAAAUACCAUGGAAAUUUAUUACCAACACGCUGUUUUGUUAAUAAAAACUUAGAUGUUUCUUUAAACAUAA